UGUUGCUCAGUGGCAGAGUGCUUGCCUAGCAAGCAUGAGGCUCUGGGUUCAAUCCACAAAAAAGAA
Molecule: transfer RNA, 66 nt
Filed under: Marmota monax (woodchuck)
Lineage: Eukaryota; Metazoa; Chordata; Mammalia; Rodentia; Sciuridae
Description: tRNA.Ala
Source: RNAcentral